RNAcentral lists this transfer RNA (74 nucleotides) under Candidatus Bathyarchaeota archaeon. RNAcentral describes it as "tRNA-Lys". It matches the Rfam family "tRNA". Rfam says of the family: Transfer RNA (tRNA) molecules are approximately 80 nucleotides in length. Their secondary structure includes four short double-helical elements and three loops (D, anti-codon, and T loops). Lineage: Archaea; Thermoproteati; Candidatus Bathyarchaeota. The record is from RNAcentral.
GCUCCGGUAGCACAAUUGGUUAGUGCGUCGGACUUUUAAUCCGAAGGUUGCGGGUUCGACCCCCGCCUGGAGCG